Molecule: long non-coding RNA, 117 nt
Organism: Ornithodoros turicata
Lineage: Eukaryota; Metazoa; Arthropoda; Arachnida; Ixodida; Argasidae
Exons: 3
Source: RefSeq, a predicted model, not a curated record
GUCCGGUUUGCAGCAUGUACCGUGUUCGUAUGUCGGUCUAUCACGGAUUUCAAAGUGGGAGAGAUAUACUUAACAAACAGUUCCGAUGAGAUUGCUCCCUGUAUGAUUGGAGAACAA